GACGAACGCUGGCGGCGUGCUUAACACAUGCAAGUCGAACGGAAAGGCCCUGCUUUUGUGGGGUGCUCGAGUGGCGAACGGGUGAGUAACACGUGAGUAACCUGCCCUUGACUUUGGGAUAACUUCAGGAAACUGGGGCUAAUACCGGAUAGGAGCUCCUGCUGCAUGGUGGGGGUUGGAAAGUUUCGGCGGUUGGGGAUGGACUCGCGGCUUAUCAGCUUGUUGGUGGGGUAGUGGCUUACCAAGGCUUUGACGGGUAGCCGGCCUGAGAGGGUGACCGGCCACAUUGGGACUGAGAUACGGCCCAGACUCCUACGGGAGGCAGCAGUGGGGAAUAUUGCACAAUGGGCGGAAGGCUGAUGCAGCAACGCCGCGUGCGGGAUGACGGCCUUCGGGUUGUAACCCGCUUUCGCCUGUGACGAAGCGUGAGUGACGGUAAUGGGUAAAGAAGCACCGGCUAACUACGUG
RNAcentral lists this ribosomal RNA (468 nucleotides) under uncultured bacterium. Its description in RNAcentral is "partial 16S ribosomal RNA". It matches the Rfam family "Bacterial small subunit ribosomal RNA", at positions 28 to 507 of the family's 1533-position model. The record is from RNAcentral.